AUGCAGGUACCUUACGACUAUCAGUAUCAGCUGGCCGUGGCUGACUACUGGGAGGGGAGGGCGACCAUGGAACCAAAUGUAUGGGUUCCUGCGCUCCCUUUGCAGAUGACAGUUGCUGCUCCUGCUAGCAACACUGAUCUGGUCGUCAGCUCCAGCGAACAGCAGGAGCUGAAGCUGGUCGAGAAGGGUACUGAUUAUCAGUAUGAGUGCAGCAAUCCUAUUGAAGACUUCGAGAAAGCAGCACGAGCAUUUGAGGAUAAUCUUCAGCAGAUGGAAACGAAGAUGCACCUGUUCCCUCCAAGCAUGGAAGAACUCUCCAAGUACUCCAAACCCAAGGUGGUGUCCAUCGGUCCGUACCACCACGGCUCGAACGAAGCCAUCCAGCAGAUGGAGAGCACCAAGUACGCGGCCGCCUGCCACUUCAUCAAGGAAUCGCGGCGCCCCGUUGAGGAGGUGUAUGGGGCGGUCUUCGCGGUGGCCGUUGAAGCCCGCAGCUACUACGACGCGGACAGGCUGCGGGAUCUCAGCGACAACGACUUCAAGCCUAUGAUGUUCUAUGAUGGCUGCUUCCUGCUGCAGUAUAUGCUAUUUUUGUGCAGAGACAACGGCGACGAAGAGAAGCCGACAGCUGAGGUGGAUCAGUGGCUGUACAAUGCUUUCAGCUCCAUCGACCGCCGCAUCUUCAGUGACAUUGUGCUGCUUGAGAACCAGCUCCCCUGGGUGGUGGUUCAAAAGCUCAAGGACUUCAUGCCCCGGCCUGGCCUGGACAUGGAAACGGUCCUUGGACGCGUGAAACAUUCUCUGCAAGCGCGGCGGCAUCUUAAAUUCGAUGCUCCUAAAUUGGACGAUAGCUACGUACCGCCGCAUCUCCUUGGCUACCUACGAUUCUAUAUUGUAGGAAGCACCGACGACACUAGUAGUACUAGUCGUACCCCAGUGCCCGAGAUCACCUUAUCUGAAAAGGUCAAGAAACUAUCAAUGUCUGUCAGCGUCAUCGAGCUUGCAGAGAUGGGCAUCAAGCUCAGAGCCGACGAUGCUACAGCAGAGCUAAAGAAGAUGCGCAUCACCAACGAGUGGUUCACCGGCAAGCUCUUCUUGCCUCCAGUGUCCCUCGACGAUGCCAACGCACGGUUCCUCGUCAACAUGGCAGCUUUGGAACUGUGCAUCACCCCAGAUUUCCGUGUAGCUCAUGAUACACGGUCUACUGUCUGCUCCUACCUCAGCCUUCUGGGGAUGGUCACCGACAAUGAUACUGAUGUGCAGGAGCUGCGAAAUAAGCUUAUACUGCAAGGAGGAGGAGGCCUCACCAACGGGGACGCACUCAAGCUGUUCACCGGGCUUGAGAAGUACCUGCGCCCCGGGAACUGCUAUGACAACAUCAUUAUAGCGAUUGAAAACUACAGGUCCCAUAGGCGGUUGCGGAUCAAGGUGUACAGGUUCUGUUACAGGAACCGCACGGCCAUCAUCGCCACGGUGUCCGCCAUUGCUGGACUUGCAGGUUUCCUCGGGACGCUCAAGUCUUUCCAGUAA
RNAcentral lists this ribosomal RNA (1530 nucleotides) under Triticum aestivum (bread wheat). RNAcentral's name for it is "partial small subunit ribosomal RNA". Lineage: Eukaryota; Viridiplantae; Streptophyta; Magnoliopsida; Poales; Poaceae. The record is from RNAcentral.